Myodes glareolus (Bank vole) is the source of this 813-nucleotide non-coding RNA. NCBI's taxonomy places the organism in Eukaryota, Metazoa, Chordata, Mammalia, Rodentia, Cricetidae. The record is from RefSeq and is a predicted model, not a curated record.
AGCCAGCCCCAAGGGGAAAUCCAAGCAUGGGUUCCGCCCUCCUGCACCCCCAGAAGGCUCUCUGGAGUUCAUCUCCACACCAUCGGAGAGGAGACAUGAGCCCUUCCCCUGGAAUAGACACAGCUGUGGAUAAGUAAGCUUGGGAAGCAGGCCGAGCACAGCAUUGGAUCCACUCAGCACUGAACACUGUUGUGAUGGCGUCCCCACACUGAUGACAGGAAAGCAGCUUAAACAGGGAGGUGAACAACAAAAUGCUUCAGGAAGUCCCUGAAACUGAGCAGAUUCCCUAGACCCCUCCCUGCCAGAGUACAUAAUAAAAAGCCAAGAGCCCCUCUCAGAGGAAGUGAAGCUGAGCAGCAAAGAUGGCCCUGGGACUAGACCAGUAGCCUGGAAGAAGAGACUGAGACCAUCUGAGGCACCGGGAAAGGAUACUCUUCAACCUUUUGACCUUUCUGUAGGCUCUGCAGUUGCUCCAGGUUUCCAGCUUCGUGAGCUGUCAGCCAUGCUGAGGCGUGCUUUGGUGAUGCAACUGCCUUUGAGUCAUUUCUGCUCCUGGAAGCCAUCCCUCACCUAUAUUCUUGGGCUGUGUGGAGUUCAGGCCUUGCUCUUCCAGGCCCCCUGGGCAUUGCCUCAGCAAGGGUGAUGAGAGCUGGAGGAUUAAAAACUUGUUACCAAUGAGAACACUGAAAUAAAUUUCUUAGCUUAAGAGAAGACUUUGAAUGCAGAUAAGGCACGAUGAAACACAAUAGAUGCCUAAGAAUGGCAGAGAAAGGGCCAGCGCUCAGAAGGCAGAGGCAGAAGGAGUGCCACAAG